UUUAGAUCUGCUGAAAAAAGAACGUGAAUUCGAUGGAUGCAAGUUUGUCAAGACACCGAGAGGCUGCUAUGAUCAGGUAUCAGACCAGCUUCUAAAGUUUCAAAGGAUUAGGUCUCUAACGUCAGGGUUUGGGUGAUAGAUAUCCAGGGCUCCAGCCACCUGAUCUGCCAUCCCCAUCCUUUCUUGGGCACAUCUCCCUCUGCUGGUGUUGGAUGGCAAGGGAACCCUCAAGAGAUUUUCUGGCAGAUCAUAGAUGAAGCGCACGCCUAAGAAAG
Molecule: long non-coding RNA, 275 nt
Organism: Osmerus eperlanus (European smelt)
Lineage: Eukaryota; Metazoa; Chordata; Actinopteri; Osmeriformes; Osmeridae
Exons: 3
Source: RefSeq, a predicted model, not a curated record